This 444-nucleotide long non-coding RNA is filed under the name Vulpes vulpes (red fox). RNAcentral describes it as "lncRNA (ENSVVUG00000010438.1)". The record is from RNAcentral. Lineage: Eukaryota; Metazoa; Chordata; Mammalia; Carnivora; Canidae.
AUGCAUGAGGCCACACAGGAGGAAGAAAGCAGCUUCGCUGUGAGACUAGGGAAACAGGCAGUGUUUCAUAAUUGUCUUUAUGCACCUGAUGGAAGAAAAUAUUCCUCCAAAGUGAAAGCAAAAAUCUCAGGCAGAAAUAGCUGGGUGUUGGAGGGAGCUAAAUCAGGAAAAGGUCUUGGCCACAGCUCACUGCUUCAGCGACUACCUCGAGGCCAGCUGGGGACCGACAGUCUCAGACACCGGCCAGUUGCCACAGAUGCAAUUGCUUUGAAAAGCAGGCUCCCGUCACCACUAACCUCAUGCAGAAGAAAUGAAAAUGGGAAACGUGGUGAUAUUUUAUUCAGUUUCCUCUGGCUCGUUCUAGGAAACAGAACCGAGGCAAAGGACGAUUGGAAUGAAAUGAGGUUUUCUUUUUAGCAAAUAAAUAUUCCAUAUGCAGAAGCA